RNAcentral lists this unclassified non-coding RNA (249 nucleotides) under uncultured fungus. Its description in RNAcentral is "sequence contains ITS2". The record is from RNAcentral. Lineage: Eukaryota; Fungi. RNAcentral also lists the same sequence under 1 other name.
AACGCACAUUGCGCCCCUUGGUAUUCCAUGGGGCAUGCCUGUUCGAGCGUCAUUUGUACCUUCAAGCUCUGCUUGGUGUUGGGUGUUUGUCUCGCCUUUGCGUGUAGACUCGCCUUAAAACAAUUGGCAGCCGGCGUAUUGAUUUCGGAGCGCAGUACAUCUCGCGCUUUGCACUCAUAACGACGACGUCCAAAAAGUACUUUUUACACUCUUGACCUCGGAUCAGGUAGGGAUACCCGCUGAACUUAA